This is a transfer RNA of Allomyces macrogynus ATCC 38327, 71 nucleotides long. It matches the Rfam family "tRNA". Rfam says of the family: Transfer RNA (tRNA) molecules are approximately 80 nucleotides in length. The record is from Rfam. NCBI's taxonomy places the organism in Eukaryota, Fungi, Blastocladiomycota, Blastocladiomycetes, Blastocladiales, Blastocladiaceae.
GCGCCGUUGGUCCAGGGGUAGGAUACCACCCUCCCAAGGUGGUGGCUCGGGUUCGAAUCCCGGACGGCGCA